This 71-nucleotide transfer RNA is filed under the name Marmota monax (woodchuck). It matches the Rfam family "tRNA". From Rfam's summary of the family: Transfer RNA (tRNA) molecules are approximately 80 nucleotides in length. Their secondary structure includes four short double-helical elements and three loops (D, anti-codon, and T loops). Lineage: Eukaryota; Metazoa; Chordata; Mammalia; Rodentia; Sciuridae. The record is from Rfam by way of RNAcentral.
GUGGUUGUGGCUCAGAGGUAGAGCACUUGCCUAGCAUGCAUGAGGAACUGAGCUUGAGCCUCAGUGCCACA